UGGGGAAUAUUGCACAAUGGGCGAAAGCCUGAUGCAGAGACGCCGCGUGAGGGAUGACGGCCUUCGGGUUGUAAACCUCUUUCAGUAGGGACGAAGCGCAAGUGACGGUACCUGCAGAAGAAGCACCGGCUAACUACGUGCCAGCAGCCGCGGUAAUACGUAGGGUGCGAGCGUUGUCCGUAAUUACUGGGCGUAAAGAGCUCGUAGGCGGUUUGUCACGUCGUCUGUGAAAUCCUAGGGCUUAACCCUGGACGUGCAGGCGAUACGGGCUGACUUGAGUACUACAGGGGAGACUGGAAUUUCUGGUGUAGCGGUGGAAUGCACAGAUAUCAGGAAGAACACCGAUGGCGAAGGCAGGUCUCGGGGUAGUAACUGACGCUGAGGAGCGAAAGCAUGGGUAGCGAACAGG
RNAcentral lists this ribosomal RNA (409 nucleotides) under bacterium. RNAcentral's name for it is "partial 16S ribosomal RNA". It matches the Rfam family "Bacterial small subunit ribosomal RNA", at positions 355 to 776 of the family's 1533-position model. The record is from RNAcentral.